GAGGACGUAGUUCAGUGGUAGAGCAUUUGCCUACUAUGCAUGAGGACCUGGGUUUAAAUCCCACUACCUCA
This 71-nucleotide transfer RNA is filed under the name Heterocephalus glaber (naked mole-rat). It matches the Rfam family "tRNA". From Rfam's summary of the family: Transfer RNA (tRNA) molecules are approximately 80 nucleotides in length. Their secondary structure includes four short double-helical elements and three loops (D, anti-codon, and T loops). Lineage: Eukaryota; Metazoa; Chordata; Mammalia; Rodentia; Bathyergidae. The record is from Rfam by way of RNAcentral.